UAGCGCGCAUCAUACAACGUAACACUUCCUCUGUGAGCCUUGAGUGUGCCCUGAUAGAAGAUACAAAGGAACUUCCCAUUUGAAAGGAAAUAUCUACGACUCAGAAUGACUGACGCAAGUUCCAUGAGUUCUAUGAGCGGGGUAGAGUCGGCAAGUGAGAUGUCGCAAAGCAUGGGCGGAACUACAGGAGGAGGUAA
Long non-coding RNA from Ornithodoros turicata, 197 nucleotides. RefSeq lists it as uncharacterized. The transcript is spliced from 3 exons. NCBI's taxonomy places the organism in Eukaryota, Metazoa, Arthropoda, Arachnida, Ixodida, Argasidae. The record is from RefSeq and is a predicted model, not a curated record.